GGUGAGGUGGGUGAGUGGCUGAAACCACCAGUUUGCUAAACUGGCGUACGUGCAAGCGUACCGGGGGUUCGAAUCCCCCUCUCACCG
This 87-nucleotide transfer RNA is filed under the name Phaeocystidibacter luteus. Its description in RNAcentral is "Flavobacteria bacterium PG2S01 tRNA". It matches the Rfam family "tRNA". Rfam says of the family: Transfer RNA (tRNA) molecules are approximately 80 nucleotides in length. Their secondary structure includes four short double-helical elements and three loops (D, anti-codon, and T loops). Further hydrogen bonds mediate the characteristic L-shaped molecular structure. tRNAs have two regions of fundamental functional importance: the anti-codon, which is responsible for specific mRNA codon recognition, and the 3' end, to which the tRNAs corresponding amino acid is attached (by aminoacyl-tRNA synthetases). tRNAs cope with the degeneracy of the genetic code in two manners: having more than one tRNA (with a specific anti-codon) for a particular amino acid; and 'wobble' base-pairing, i.e. permitting non-standard base-pairing at the 3rd anti-codon position. Lineage: Bacteria; Pseudomonadati; Bacteroidota; Flavobacteriia; Flavobacteriales; Phaeocystidibacteraceae. RNAcentral also lists the same sequence under 1 other name. The record is from Rfam by way of RNAcentral.